GACGUAGGGCGCGAGCGUUGUCCGGAUUUAUUGGGCGUAAAGAGCUCGUAGGCGGUUUGUCGCGUCGAAUGUGAAAACCCGGGGCUCAACCCCGGGCCUGCAUUCGAUACGGGCAGACUAGAGUUCGGUAGGGGAGUCUGGAAUUCCUGGUGUAGCGGUGAAAUGCGUAGAUAUCUGGAGGAACACCGGUGGCGAAGGCGGCGUUCUGGACUGCAACUGACACUGAGGAACGAAAGCCAGGGGAGCAAACGGG
Molecule: ribosomal RNA, 253 nt
Filed under: uncultured bacterium
Lineage: Bacteria
Description: partial 16S ribosomal RNA
Rfam family: Bacterial small subunit ribosomal RNA
Source: RNAcentral